ACGAACGCUGGCGGCGUGCUUAACACCUGCAAGUCGAACGGAAAGGCCCUGCUUUUGUGGGGUGCUCGAGUGGCGAACGGGUUAGUAACACGUGAGUAACCUGCCCUUGACUUUGGGAUAACUUCAGGAAACUGGGGCUAAUACCGGAUAGGAGCUCCUGCUGCAUGGUGGGGGUUGGAAAGUUUCGGCGGUUGGGGAUGGACUCGCGGCUUAUCAGCUUGUUGGUGGGGUAGUGGCUUACCAAGGCUUUGACGGGUAGCCGGCCUGAGAGGGUGACCGGCCACAUUGGGACUGAGAUACGGCCCAGACUCCUACGGGAGGCAGCAGUGGGGAAUAUUGCACAAUGGGCGGAAGCCUGAUGCAGCAACGCCGCGUGCGGGAUGACGGCCUUCGGGUUGUAAACCGCUUUCGCCUGUGACGAAGCGUGAGUGACGGUAAUGGGUAAAGAAGCACCGGCUAACUACGUG
Molecule: ribosomal RNA, 467 nt
Filed under: uncultured bacterium
Lineage: Bacteria
Description: partial 16S ribosomal RNA
Rfam family: Bacterial small subunit ribosomal RNA
Source: RNAcentral